AUACGUAGGGGGCGAGCGUUGUCCGGAAUGAUUGGGCGUAAAGGGCGCGUAGGCGGCGCGGUAAGUCUGGAGUGAAAGUCCUGCUUUCAAGGUGGGAAUUGCUUUGGAUACUGCCGCGCUUGAGUGCAGGAGAGGUUAUCGGAAUUCCCGGUGUAGCGGUGAAAUGCGUAGAGAUCGGGAGGAACACCAGUGGCGAAGGCGGGUAACUGGACUGCAACUGACGCUAAGGCGCGAAAGUGUGGGGAGCAAACAGGAUUAGAUACCCUGGUAGUCCACACUGUAAACGAUGAAUGCUAGGUGUAAGAGGUAUCGACCCCUUUUGUGCCGGAGUCAACACAAUAAGCAUUCCGCCUGGGGAGUACGGCCGCAAGGUUGAAACUCAAAGGAAUUGACGGGG
This 397-nucleotide ribosomal RNA is filed under the name uncultured bacterium. Its description in RNAcentral is "partial 16S ribosomal RNA". It matches the Rfam family "Bacterial small subunit ribosomal RNA", at positions 523 to 918 of the family's 1533-position model. The record is from RNAcentral.